GAAUUCGAUUCAGGCCUAACACAUGCAAGUCGAACGGCAGCACGGGUGCUUGCACCUGGUGGCGAGUGGCGAACGGGUGAGUAAUAUAUCGGAACGUACCUUAUUGUGGGGGAUAACGCAGCGAAAGCUGUGCUAAUACCGCAUAAUCCCUAAGGGGGAAAGCGGGGGACCGUAAGGCCUCGCGCAAUUAGAGCGGCCGAUACCUGAUUAGCUAGUUGGUGAGGUAAAGGCUCACCAAGGCAACGAUCAGUAGCUGGUCUGAGAGGACGAUCAGCCACACUGGGACUGAGACACGGCCCAGACUCCUACGGGAGGCAGCAGUGGGGAAUUUUGGACAAUGGGGGCAACCCUGAUCCAGCAAUGCCGCGUGAGUGAAGAAGGCCUUCGGGUU
RNAcentral lists this ribosomal RNA (391 nucleotides) under uncultured bacterium. Its description in RNAcentral is "bacterial SSU rRNA". It matches the Rfam family "Bacterial small subunit ribosomal RNA", at positions 39 to 424 of the family's 1533-position model. The record is from RNAcentral.